RNAcentral lists this ribosomal RNA (426 nucleotides) under uncultured bacterium. RNAcentral's name for it is "bacterial SSU rRNA". It matches the Rfam family "Bacterial small subunit ribosomal RNA", at positions 355 to 773 of the family's 1533-position model. The record is from RNAcentral.
UGGGGAAUCUUGCGCAAUGCGCGAAAGCGUGACGCAGCAACGCCGCGUGCGGGAAGACGGCCUUCGGGUUGUAAACCGCUUUCAGUUGGGACGAAGCCUGUCUGGUGAAUAGCCAGUGCGGGUGACGGUACCUUCAGAAGAAGCUCCGGCUAACUACGUGCCAGCAGCCGCGGUAAUACGUAGGGCGCGAGCGUUGUCCGGAUUUAUUGGGCGUAAAGAGCUCGUAGGCGGCUUGUCGCGUCGUCCGUGAAAACCCGUGGCUCAACUGCGGGCUUGCGGUCGAUACGGGCAGGCUGGAGUUCGGUAGGGGAGACUGGAAUUCCUGGUGUAGCGGUGAAAUGCGCAGAUAUCAGGAGGAACACCGAUGGCGAAGGCAGGUCUCUGGGCCACUACUGACGCUGAGAAGCGAAAGCAUGGGGAGCGAAC